UGUAGCCUAGUGGUAAAGCACUUACCCAGCAUGUAGGAGGCCCUGGGUUUAAUCCCCAGCA
RNAcentral lists this transfer RNA (61 nucleotides) under Urocitellus parryii (Arctic ground squirrel). Its description in RNAcentral is "Spermophilus parryii (Arctic ground squirrel) tRNA". It matches the Rfam family "tRNA", at positions 6 to 65 of the family's 71-position model. Rfam says of the family: Transfer RNA (tRNA) molecules are approximately 80 nucleotides in length. Their secondary structure includes four short double-helical elements and three loops (D, anti-codon, and T loops). The record is from Rfam by way of RNAcentral. RNAcentral also lists the same sequence under 2 other names. Lineage: Eukaryota; Metazoa; Chordata; Mammalia; Rodentia; Sciuridae.